UUUAGCGAGAAUAGCUAUGGGGAUACACCUGGUCACAUUCCGAACCCAGAAGUUAAGUCCAUAUACGCCGAAAGUACUUAGGGGGCAGCCCCUUGGGAGGAUAGGAACUCGCUAAAC
RNAcentral lists this ribosomal RNA (117 nucleotides) under unidentified. The record is from RNAcentral.